UGAGGAAUAUUGGUCAAUGGAGGCAACUCUGAACCAGCCAUGCCGCGUGCAGGAUGACGAUCCUAUGGAUUGUAAACUGCUUUUGUACAGGAAGAAACCCAACUACGUGUAGUUGAUUGACGGUACUGUAAGAAUAAGGACCGGCUAACUCCGUGCCAGCAGCCGCGGUAAUACGGAGGGUCCAAGCGUUAUCCGGAAUUAUUGGGUUUAAAGGGUUCGUAGGCGGUUGAGUAAGUCAGUGGUGAAAUUUCUUAGCUUAACUAAGACACUGCCAUUGAUACUGCUUAACUUGAAUCAUAUGGAAGUAACUAGAAUAUGUAGUGUAGCGGUGAAAUGCUUAGAUAUUACAUGGAAUACCAAUUGCGAAGGCAGGUUACUACGUAUGUAUUGACGCUGAUGAACGAAAGCGUGGGGAGCGAACAGG
This 424-nucleotide ribosomal RNA is filed under the name uncultured bacterium. RNAcentral's name for it is "bacterial SSU rRNA". It matches the Rfam family "Bacterial small subunit ribosomal RNA", at positions 355 to 776 of the family's 1533-position model. The record is from RNAcentral.